UUAGCUUUGGCACAGUAGGUAGUGCAUCAGUCUCCCAAGCUGAAGGUCCUGAGUUCGAUCCUCUGAAGGAGAG
Non-coding RNA from Monodelphis domestica (gray short-tailed opossum), 73 nucleotides. Lineage: Eukaryota; Metazoa; Chordata; Mammalia; Didelphimorphia; Didelphidae. The record is from Rfam.